GCCCAGAUAGCUCAGUCGGUAGAGCAAGCGACUGAAAAUCGCUGUGUCGAUGGUUCGAUUCCAUCUCUGGGCACCA
RNAcentral lists this transfer RNA (76 nucleotides) under Rickettsiales bacterium. RNAcentral describes it as "tRNA-Phe". It matches the Rfam family "tRNA". Rfam says of the family: Transfer RNA (tRNA) molecules are approximately 80 nucleotides in length. Their secondary structure includes four short double-helical elements and three loops (D, anti-codon, and T loops). The record is from RNAcentral. Lineage: Bacteria; Pseudomonadati; Pseudomonadota; Alphaproteobacteria; Rickettsiales.